RNAcentral lists this ribosomal RNA (468 nucleotides) under uncultured bacterium. RNAcentral describes it as "partial 16S ribosomal RNA". It matches the Rfam family "Bacterial small subunit ribosomal RNA", at positions 28 to 491 of the family's 1533-position model. The record is from RNAcentral.
GACGAACGCUGGCGGCGUGCUUAACACAUGCAAGUCGAACGGAAAGGCCCUGCUUGCAGGGUGCUCGAGUGGCGAACGGGUGAGUAACACGUGGGUGAUCUGCCCCUUACUUUGGGAUAAGCCUGGGAAACUGGGUCUAAUACUGGAUAGGACCAUGCUGUAGGUGGUGUGGUGGAAAGAUUAGUUUCGGUAAGGGAUGAGCUCGCGGCCUAUCAGCUUGUUGGUGGGGUAAUGGCCUACCAAGGCGUCGACGGGUAGCCGGCCUGAGAGGGUGGACGGCCCAGUUUGGGUAGGAGAGAGGGCCCGGCUACGUGGGGGGGGAGGAGGGGGGGAAUAGUGAAAAAGGGGGGCAGGCCGAGGGCGGGAGGGCGGGGGGGGGAAGGCCGCCUUUGGGGUUGAAAACCCUUUAAGCCCAGGAGAAGGCCUUUGUGGGGAGGGUGGGGGAAGAAAAGCACCGGGCAAUUAAGG